AGUGAACGCUGGCGGUAUGCCUAAUACAUGCAAGUCGAACGCUAGAAUACUAAGAGCUUGCUCUUACGGGUGGCGAGUGGAGGACGAGUGAGGCAUACAUCGGAAUCUACUUUUUCGUGGGGGAUAAUGUAGGGAAACUUAUGCUAAUACCGCAUACGCUCUACGGGAGAAAUCAGGCGAUCUUCGUACCUUGUGCGCUUGUAUGGCCUGAUGUCGGAUUAGCUAGUUGGCGGGGUAAAGGCCCACCAAGGCGACGAUCCGUAGCUGGUCUGAGAGGAUGAUCAGCCACACUGGAACUGAGACACGGCCCAGACUCCUACGGGAGGCAGCAGUGGGGAAUAUUGGACAAUGGGCGCAAGCCUGACCCAGCCAUACCGCGUGGGGGAAGAAGGCCUUCGGGUUGUAAAGCCCUUUUGUAGGGAAAGAAAGGCGGCAGGUUAAAACGCCGCUGUAGUGACGGUACCCAAAGAGAAAGCACCGGCUAACUUCGUG
RNAcentral lists this ribosomal RNA (492 nucleotides) under uncultured bacterium. RNAcentral describes it as "partial 16S ribosomal RNA". It matches the Rfam family "Bacterial small subunit ribosomal RNA", at positions 29 to 507 of the family's 1533-position model. The record is from RNAcentral.